AAUAAUAAUGAGAUAAUAAUAGUCUAAAAGAUAGAUAAAACAUCAAUAACCAUCCCAUGACCUAGUAGUGUUGGUACAAGAGCUACCAACAAAAAAGGCAUAACUACUAAAAUAGUCAAAUACAAAUCUAUAUCAAAGAGUAAAAGACUGGACAUAAAUAAUAUAAGAAAAAAGGGCUACGCUUACUCCAAGAUCUCACCCU
RNAcentral lists this long non-coding RNA (202 nucleotides) under Capsicum annuum. RNAcentral's name for it is "long non-coding RNA (CANN_LNC014125)". Lineage: Eukaryota; Viridiplantae; Streptophyta; Magnoliopsida; Solanales; Solanaceae. The record is from RNAcentral.